This 206-nucleotide ribosomal RNA is filed under the name uncultured eukaryote. RNAcentral describes it as "partial 18S ribosomal RNA". It matches the Rfam family "Eukaryotic small subunit ribosomal RNA", at positions 1299 to 1458 of the family's 1831-position model. The record is from RNAcentral.
UGGUGGAGUGAUUUGUCUGGUUAAUUCCGUUAACGAACGAGACCUCCGCCUGCUAAAUAGUGGGUAUAGGCUUCUAACGUGUGAACCGGGUGUCGGCGGGUAGGGUCUCGGCUUUGCCUUCGGUGCCCGGGGAACUAUGAUGCUCUUUAUUCUGCUUCUUAGAGGGACUGCCCACGGUAAGUGGGAGGAAGUCGGAGGCAAUAACA